Molecule: small nuclear RNA, 104 nt
Organism: Diceros bicornis minor
Lineage: Eukaryota; Metazoa; Chordata; Mammalia; Perissodactyla; Rhinocerotidae
Source: RefSeq, a predicted model, not a curated record
GUGCUCACUUCAGCAGCACAUACACUAAAAUUAGAAUGAUCCAGAGAUGACUAUGUCCCCCCCGCAAGGAUGACAUGCAAAUUCAUGUAGUGCUCCAUAUUUUU